Molecule: transfer RNA, 73 nt
Filed under: Laccaria bicolor S238N-H82
Lineage: Eukaryota; Fungi; Basidiomycota; Agaricomycetes; Agaricales; Hydnangiaceae
Description: tRNA-Thr (CGT) (tRNA-Thr-CGT-3-1)
Source: RNAcentral
UCCUUCUUACCUCAGUUGGUAGGGCGCGUCACACGUAAUGACGAGGUCAGUCGUUCAAGUCGGCUAGAAGGAG